UUCGCAAUGCCCGAAAGGGUGACGAAGCGACGCCGCGUGGGUGAGGAAGGCCUUCGGGUUGUAAAGCCCUGUCAGGAGUUAAGAAAUGUAGACUCGCUAAUAUCGGGUCUAUUUGGCAAAGGCUCCAAAGGAAGCCACGGCUAACUCUGUGCCAGCAGCCGCGGUAAUACAGAGGUGGCAAGCGUUGUUCGGAAUUAUUGGGCGUAAAGAGCACGUAGGUAGACUUGUAAGUCAGACGUGAAAGCCUUCUGUUCAACGGAAGAAUUGCAUCUGAAACUACAAACCUUGAGUGUAGGAGGGGAGAAUGGAACUUCUGGUGGAGCGGUGAAAUGCGUAGAUAUCAGAAGGAACGCCGGCGGCGAAAGCGAUUCUCUGGCCCAUUACUGACACUCAGUGUGCGAAAGCUAGGGGAGCAAACGGGAUUAGAUACCCCGGUAGUCCUAGCCGUAAACGAUGGGCACUAAGUAGAGGGGUUUU
RNAcentral lists this ribosomal RNA (477 nucleotides) under uncultured Planctomycetales bacterium. RNAcentral describes it as "bacterial SSU rRNA". It matches the Rfam family "Bacterial small subunit ribosomal RNA", at positions 365 to 832 of the family's 1533-position model. Lineage: Bacteria; Pseudomonadati; Planctomycetota; Planctomycetia; Planctomycetales. The record is from RNAcentral.